Molecule: transfer RNA, 72 nt
Filed under: Colletotrichum orbiculare MAFF 240422
Lineage: Eukaryota; Fungi; Ascomycota; Sordariomycetes; Glomerellales; Glomerellaceae
Description: tRNA-Ala (TGC) (tRNA-Ala-TGC-1-1)
Rfam family: tRNA
About the family: Transfer RNA (tRNA) molecules are approximately 80 nucleotides in length. Their secondary structure includes four short double-helical elements and three loops (D, anti-codon, and T loops). Further hydrogen bonds mediate the characteristic L-shaped molecular structure. tRNAs have two regions of fundamental functional importance: the anti-codon, which is responsible for specific mRNA codon recognition, and the 3' end, to which the tRNAs corresponding amino acid is attached (by aminoacyl-tRNA synthetases). tRNAs cope with the degeneracy of the genetic code in two manners: having more than one tRNA (with a specific anti-codon) for a particular amino acid; and 'wobble' base-pairing, i.e. permitting non-standard base-pairing at the 3rd anti-codon position.
Source: RNAcentral
GGGCGUAUAGUCUAGUGGUAUGAUUUCCGCUUUGCAUGCGGAAGGUCCUGGGUUCAAUCCCCAGUGCGUCCA